This 1089-nucleotide long non-coding RNA is filed under the name Aotus nancymaae (Ma's night monkey). RNAcentral describes it as "lncRNA (ENSANAG00000038857.1)". The record is from RNAcentral. Lineage: Eukaryota; Metazoa; Chordata; Mammalia; Primates; Aotidae.
GAUGAAACUCUUGCAAGUCAGGUUCUUGGAACAUUCUUAUCUAAGGAUUGCAUGUGCUGAGGAUGAGAAAGCAGAUCUGCCCAGUGGGCUUUGGAAGGCGCUGGCUGAGGGGAGGGGAGAUGACCUGGUAGACUGGAAGCCAGAGGACCUUCUGCAUUCUUUAUCUGCUUCUUUUGGAACUGUCAGAACUUAGCAGGACCCAGGGGCCCCCAGCUUAUUUUUGGGAAGUGCUUCAAGUCCUCUGCCAGUGUGCACAGGCAAGAGAAGAGCUUACUGUCCAGUGAAAGCUGCAAGCUUCCCCAGAGGGAGCCCAAGAGGACUGCAGCACAGUGGUUAAGAAGGACCACCUGUCAGGUCUGAGGCCAAGGUUCCUGCACUCUAGCAGAGGACUUCCUCCCCAGCCCUUCAGCCACCAAGAAACACGGACUUCUCCAACUCCCUUGAGCAGUGAAGCACCUUCACUGCCCUCUACCUCAGCAGAGACAGGGGGCCUCAAGCCUGUCCCCAGCCUUAGCACACUCUGUGUAUCCCCAGCACCCAGCCCAUGGCUCAGCCCACAGUGGACACUCAACGAGCUGCUGCUGAAUGAAUGAAGGCAUCUAUCGUCUCCUUCCUGCUUUGCCCAACAAUAAGGUUUCCCAGGAUAACUCGAAAGGCAAUUCCCCUUUUCAUCUGCUAAGCCAUCUGAGGAAGUACAGAAUCUACUGGACACUCAAGAGGAGAGGCAGUCUAGAAGACGCCUCCAGGGCUUGUUUCUCUGGAGACUUUUAUGUAGAACAAGUGCUGCCCCUACAAGUUCCUCCACGGGCUCACAAGGAACCUAACUUCGAGGGACCUCGUUCAGUUCAUGGUGGUUCAGUUCAUCCACGUUCAGGUCUGCAUUCAUGGCUACAGUCCAAUAUUGGAUGAUCCUAGUGGUAUCUCUGAGCGGCCCAGAAUGGAUAAAAUUGUGCUGUGUGAUCUGUAUGCCUUGGACAAAUUCCUGAUCUCCCUGUGUAUGUUUCCUCAUCUACAAAAUGGUGAGAAUAUUUGUACCUACUUCACAGGGUUGUGAGGAUUAAAUGAAUUAACACAGGGAAAACACUUCAA